RNAcentral lists this ribosomal RNA (497 nucleotides) under uncultured bacterium. RNAcentral's name for it is "partial 16S ribosomal RNA". It matches the Rfam family "Bacterial small subunit ribosomal RNA", at positions 28 to 507 of the family's 1533-position model. The record is from RNAcentral.
GAUGAACGCUGGCGGCGUGCCUAAUACAUGCAAGUCGAGCGAACGGACGAGAAGCUUGCUUCUCUGAUGUUAGCGGCGGACGGGUGAGUAACACGUGGAUAACCUACCUAUAAGACUGGGAUAACUUCGGGAAACCGGAGCUAAUACCGGAUAAUAUUUUGAACCGCAUGGUUCAAAAGUGAAAGACGGUCUUGCUGUCACUUAUAGAUGGAUCCGCGCUGCAUUAGCUAGUUGGUAAGGUAACGGCUUACCAAGGCAACGAUGCAUAGCCGACCUGAGAGGGUGAUCGGCCACACUGGAACUGAGACACGGUCCAGACUCCUACGGGAGGCAGCAGUAGGGAAUCUUCCGCAAUGGGCGAAAGCCUGACGGAGCAACGCCGCGUGAGUGAUGAAGGUCUUCGGGUCGUAAAACUCUGUUAUUAGGGAAGAACAUAUGUGUAAGUAACUGUGCACAUCUUGACGGUACCUAAUCAGAAAGCCACGGCUAACUACGUG